Molecule: long non-coding RNA, 357 nt
Organism: Acanthopagrus latus (yellowfin seabream)
Lineage: Eukaryota; Metazoa; Chordata; Actinopteri; Spariformes; Sparidae
Exons: 2
Source: RefSeq, a predicted model, not a curated record
UGGCCCGCUGAUUGAUCAGAUCUGCUCUCUACUGAUUGGUCAGAUCUGGUGUCUACUGCACCGUGUUGCUAUGACGAUCAGUACUACUAAGCAAGGAGAGGCGAGGCCAGUUGCACUGAGCUGCCAGUACUGGUCAUUAACGGCAUGGCACUAAAAUGAAUGUAUUCAUCUGGUGCUGAAAAAAGAAAAAAGAAGAAACUAGAUGAAGAAAAACCCUCAUGGGAUAAAGGAUCAAUUCUGAAAUAUUUUGCAGAUGUGGACCAGGAAGCAGCAGGUCUGUCUUCAGAACCACCGGACCAGGAUGUUUAAGUUUACAAAUGUUUUACAAUUUAAAAUAAAACAUUUUGAGGAACACUG